GACGAACGCUGGCGGCGUGCUCAACACAUGCAAGUCGAACGAAGAGCGAUGGAAGCUUGCUUCUAUCAAUCUUAGUGGCGAACGGGUGAGUAACGCGUAAUCAACCUGCCCUUCAGAGGGGGACAACAGUUGGAAACGACUGCUAAUACCGCAUACGAUCUAAUCUCGGCAUCGAGGAUAGAUGAAAGGUGGCCUCUACAUGUAAGCUAUCACUGAAGGAGGGGAUUGCGUCUGAUUAGCUAGUUGGAGGGGUAACGGCCCACCAAGGCGAUGAUCAGUAGCCGGUCUGAGAGGAUGAACGGCCACAUUGGGACUGAGACACGGCCCAGACUCCUACGGGAGGCAGCAGUGGGGAAUCUUCCGCAAUGGACGAAAGUCUGACGGAGCAACGCCGCGUGAGUGGUGACGGCCUUCGGGUUGUAAAGCUCUGUUAAUCGGGACGAAAGGCCUUCUUGCGAAUAGUGAGAAGGAUUGACGGUACCGGAAUAGAAAGCCACGGCUAACUACGUG
Molecule: ribosomal RNA, 510 nt
Filed under: uncultured bacterium
Lineage: Bacteria
Description: partial 16S ribosomal RNA
Rfam family: Bacterial small subunit ribosomal RNA
Source: RNAcentral